Long non-coding RNA from Malus domestica (apple), 528 nucleotides. RefSeq lists it as uncharacterized. The record is from RefSeq and is a predicted model, not a curated record. Lineage: Eukaryota; Viridiplantae; Streptophyta; Magnoliopsida; Rosales; Rosaceae.
UCUUCCCUCUUCCCCUCGCUCUAAUCCCCGACUUUGCCUCAGGGUUCGAACAAAACCCAAAAUCACCACCUUCAGACGUUUUCCUGUUGCGGCUGGCCUGCAACCACAAUUAUUCGACUCAGGAGAGUCCCAACAAUAACAUUCGAGUUUUGCAUGAUUGAAUCUACCCCUCGAUCGAAGAGUUCCAUAAGCCCAGCUUGCGGUGUUGUUUUUUUCGACGAAGAUCCGAGUUUAUUUCCCGCCAAUUUAAGGCCUUUCCGACCUUUUUUGGGUCCGAAGAAGGAAUAGCUGAAUAAAUCAAAUGGUACAAGAAGAACAUCAUUUUGGCAACGAAGAAGAAAAUAGAGUGAAGUCCUGAGGAACAAUGUAAAAAGUUGGAACAUGUGAAACAAACACCCAUCUUUUGUUCCUUAUUGAACAUAAGGAUGCAAAUAGAGUUUGAUGUGAAUGUAAAUGGAUUUUAAUAUAUUCUACACAUUUAACAUAGUUAUAAAACCCACGGCAUCGUGCGGGAUCAGUUGCUUGCUA